CCAAUCACAGAGCACCUGCGGGCGCUCACCUCCCCCGCUCGCGGGGUGGGGUGGGGCGGUCCGCCGUUUACAGGAGCCGCCGGUGCAGGAGCCCUCGCGGGCCCCGGCCGAGCCGGCCCCUUUAACCCAUUGAACCCUCUGCCCUGAAGCAGCUUCGUAUGGGGACACCCCUGCGAUAGUAACUGAGACAACUCUCAACAACGGAUAUCUUGGCUCUCGCAACGAUGAAGAACGCAGCGAAAUGCGAUACGUAGUGUGAAUUGCAGAAUUCCGUGAGUCAUCUAAUCUUUGAACGCACAUUGCCGGUCGACUCUUCGGAGGAGACCACAUCUGCCUCAGCGUCGGAAUACCCCCUCACGCACUCCCGCGUGGACCUGGCCCCCCCGGACUCCCCGUCCGGGCUGGCUGAAAUGCAGAGGCUCGUGCGCGGCCCAUUCGUGGCCCCGACUAGGUAGGUAGCUCGCUACUGCUAGGCGGAGGCUCGGUGUCGCGUGCUUUGGGCCCCAAAGGAUACCCAUCCAUUCAUUCGACCUGAGUUCAGGUGAGGCUACCCGCUGAACUUAAGCAUAUCAAUAAGCGGAAGGAAA
This 587-nucleotide ribosomal RNA is filed under the name Ulva flexuosa. RNAcentral describes it as "eukaryotic LSU rRNA". The stretch from base 190 to 344 matches the Rfam family "5.8S ribosomal RNA". Lineage: Eukaryota; Viridiplantae; Chlorophyta; Ulvophyceae; Ulvales; Ulvaceae. The record is from RNAcentral.